Molecule: long non-coding RNA, 371 nt
Organism: Felis catus (domestic cat)
Lineage: Eukaryota; Metazoa; Chordata; Mammalia; Carnivora; Felidae
Exons: 2
Source: RefSeq, a predicted model, not a curated record
UUUGUGCAGCGCUGGAAGAACAGGAAAACAAGUCUGGUCUCUGGCUCAGUCUCCUCCCACCCAUGAGAGACCCCUGAGCUAAAGUAAACUGUGCUGUGAAAGCUCGUAUGACAACAUCUGAUCGGGCUGUGUUUUCUGAUGAACCAAAGGAUGGAGACUCUCCUCCAAGUACUCAUAGGGAUAUUAGAGUUGCAAGUGGCCUGGGUCAGUAGCCAAGAACUGGAGCAGAGUCCACGUUCCCUGAUCAUCCAAGAGGGAGAAGAUUUCACCAUAAACUGCAGUUCAUCAAAGACUUUCUAUACCCUGGGCUGGUACAGGCAAAAGAAUGGUGAAGGUCUAAGCUCCUUGAUGAUGUUACAGAAAAGUGGGGA